UGAGAAAGGAAGACCUACCCUCAAUGUGGGUGGGCACCAUCCAAUCUGCUGCCAGCACAGCCAGAACACAGUAGGCGGAAGAAGGUGGGAUAGGCUGGCUUGAUGAGCCUUCUGACUUUCACCUUUCUCCCCUGCUGGAUGCAUCCAUCCAUCUCUCCCUCCUGCCUUCAGACAUCAGACUCCAGCUUCUUUGGCCUUUGGACUCUUAGACUUACACUAGUGGUUUGCUGGGGGCUUUCCGGCCUUUGGCCACAGACUGAAGGCUGCAUCGUCAGCUUCCCUACCUUUGAAGAUUUUGGACUUUGACUGAGUCACUAUUGGCUUCUUUCUUCCUCAGCUUGCAGACGGCCUAUCAUGGGACUUCACCUUGUGAUCAAUUUCAUUCCUGCAGAAACCACAAUAAAGGGACGUGCCCUCAGUUGCCCUGUCUCCCUCUGCCUCAUGACUGACCGCGGUGCAUGACCUGAGUGGCCUUGUGUGGCCUGCUGCUUUCUCCCCAGUGAACUGUGAAUUACUAAUUGAGGCAUAUUUUGUGACUAUGGCAGAGGCAAAAAAGUACAAACAAAGGAGAAGGACUGAGGUGUUCUAUCUCUUUCCGGCACAAAUCAUCACUUCACAUAUCCCUUCUAGACAGCAGCUGUAUGAUAGCAUGAUACUUUUUUCUACUUGUUCUGAAGUGUGAACCGGAAAGAGCAGAAAGUGUUAGCCAGAGAAAAGACAUCCCUCUGUGAGUUUGGGAGCCUGGGAAGUACAAAAUCAAGGCGCCAGCAGAUUUCAGUGUCUGGAGAAAACCUGCUUCCUCAAAGGUCUUGACGUUGGGAAGUAAAAGAUCAGAGUGCUGGCAGAUUUUGGUGUCUAGUAAAGGACGGCUUUCUAGUGUAUAGAUAACACCUUCUAUCCAUGUCCUCACAUGGUGAAAAAGUGACUGUAAGUUUCCUGAGGCCUCCCCAGAAGCAGAAGCCUGUAUACUCGGCAGAAGUGUGCUUAUUGAAAUACUCAACUUUCAUGAUGCUCUGAUGGCUUUGGCAGACACUGCCCCAACUUCUUCAGGUGGUUUUCUCCCUUACCAGGGAGACUGUUGUUCAGGCGGCAGGACUGGCAACUCAGUAUGUGGUUUGCUUAUAAACCUGUGAACACA
Molecule: long non-coding RNA, 1138 nt
Filed under: Homo sapiens (human)
Lineage: Eukaryota; Metazoa; Chordata; Mammalia; Primates; Hominidae
Description: HSALNT0376744
Source: RNAcentral